Long non-coding RNA from Ipomoea nil (Japanese morning glory), 115 nucleotides. RefSeq lists it as uncharacterized. The record is from RefSeq and is a predicted model, not a curated record. The transcript is spliced from 3 exons. NCBI's taxonomy places the organism in Eukaryota, Viridiplantae, Streptophyta, Magnoliopsida, Solanales, Convolvulaceae.
UCUUGCCCCAAAAAUACAUAACAAAUACAGAUUUGAGCCUCAAAGACGCCCAAAGGGCUUCGAACCAGCGACCUCUACAUGAAAUUGACGUUUCUGGUUUUCUUGGGAUGGUAUU